AGUGGGAGGAAACAACCUAACAAGGAUUCCCCUAGUAACUGCGAGUGUAUGCGGGAAAAGCUCAAAUUUAAAAUCUGGCGGUUCUUGUAGCCGUCCGAGUUGUAAUUUAGAGAAGUGUUAUCCGCGCUGGACCGUGUACAAGUCUCCUGGAAUGGAGCGUCAUAGAGGGUGAGAAUCCCGUCUUUGACACGGACUACCAGGGCAUUGUGAUGCGCUCUCAAAGAGUCGAGUUGUUUGGGAAUGCAGCUCAAAAUGGGUGGUAAAUUCCAUCUAAAGCUAAAUAUUGAGGAGAGACCGAUAGCGAACAAGUACCGUGAGGGAAAGAUGAAAAGAACUUUGGAAAGAGAGUUAAACAGUACGUGAAAUUGCUGAAAGGGAAACGCUUGAAGUCAGUCGCGUUGUACAGAACUCAGCCUUGCUUUGCUUGGUGUACUUUCUGUGCGACGGGUCAGCAUCAGUUUUGGUCGGCGGAUAAAGGCUUGGAGAAUGUGGCACCUUCGGGUGUGUUAUAGCUUCAGGUUGUAUACGUCGGCUGGGACUGAGGAACUCAGCACGCCGCAAGGCCGGGUCUUUGACCACGUUCGUGCUUAGGAUGCUGGCAUAAUGGCUUUAAUCGACCCGUCUUGAAACACGGACCAAGGAGUCUAACAUGCCUGCGAGUGUUUGGGUGGAAAACCCGAGCGCGUAAUGAAAGUGAAAGUUGAGAUCCCUGUCGUGGGGAGCAUCGACGCCCGGAGCAGACCUUUUGUGACGCAUCCGCGGUAGAGCAUGUAUGUUGGGACCCGAAAGAUGGUGAACUAUGCCUGAAUAGGGUGAAGCCAGAGGAAACUCUGGUGGAGGCUCGUAGCGAUUCUGACGUGCAAAUCGAUCGUCGAAUUUUGGGUAUAGGGGCGAAAGACUAAUCGAACCAUUAAAACAAAACUAUAAGCUACUUGGUUGCUUAAGAGGCCGUUGAAAGACGUUUGCCUAGUAGAAGUGAAGGAAUGGCCAACACCGUUUCAAUUUGUGGGA
RNAcentral lists this ribosomal RNA (1011 nucleotides) under Favolaschia brevistipitata. Its description in RNAcentral is "Favolaschia sp. ZQ-2021b partial large subunit ribosomal RNA". It matches the Rfam family "Eukaryotic large subunit ribosomal RNA", at positions 49 to 1049 of the family's 3401-position model. Lineage: Eukaryota; Fungi; Basidiomycota; Agaricomycetes; Agaricales; Mycenaceae. The record is from RNAcentral.